Molecule: ribosomal RNA, 488 nt
Filed under: uncultured bacterium
Lineage: Bacteria
Description: partial 16S ribosomal RNA
Rfam family: Bacterial small subunit ribosomal RNA
Source: RNAcentral
UUGCACGCUGGCGGCAGGCCUAACACAUGCAAGUCGAACGGUAACAGGAAGAAGCUUGCUUCUUUGCUGACGAGUGGCGGACGGGUGAGUAAUGUCUGGGAAACUGCCUGAUGGAGGGGGAUAACUACUGGAAACGGUAGCUAAUACCGCAUAACGUCGCAAGACCAAAAAGGGGGACCUUCGGGCCUCUUGCCAUCGGAUGUGCCCAGAUGGGAUUAGCUAGUAGGUGGGGUAACGGCUCACCUAGGCGACGAUCCCUAGCUGGUCUGAGAGGAUGACCAGCCACACUGGAACUGAGACACGGUCCAGACUCCUACGGGAGGCAGCAGUGGGGAAUAUUGCACAAUGGGCGCAAGCCUGAUGCAGCCAUGCCGCGUGUAUGAAGAAGGCCUUCGGGUUGUAAAGUACUUUCAGCGGGGAGGAAGGGAGUAAAGUUAAUACCUUUGCUCAUUGACGUUACCCGCAGAAGAAGCACCGGCUAACUCCGU